This 436-nucleotide ribosomal RNA is filed under the name Enterobacter sp. DsA.N031. Its description in RNAcentral is "bacterial SSU rRNA". It matches the Rfam family "Bacterial small subunit ribosomal RNA", at positions 114 to 543 of the family's 1533-position model. The record is from RNAcentral. Lineage: Bacteria; Pseudomonadati; Pseudomonadota; Gammaproteobacteria; Enterobacterales; Enterobacteriaceae.
UGUCUGGGAAAGUGCCUGAUGGAGGGAGAUAACUACUGGAAACGGUAGCUAAUACCGCAUAACGUCGCAAGACCAAAGAGGGAGACCUUCGGGCCUCGUGCCAUCAUAUGUGCCCAUAUGGGAUUAGCUAAGUAGGUGGGGUAACGGCUCACCUACGACACGAUCCCUAGCUGGUCUGAGAGGAUGACCAGCCACACUGGAACUGACACACGGUCCACACUCCUACGGGAGGCAGCAGUGGAGAAUAUUGCACUGUGGGCGCAAGCCUGAUGCAGCCAUGCCGCGUGUAUGAAGAACGCCUUCGGGUUGUAAAGUACUUUCAGCGGGGAGGAAGGUGUUGAGGUUAAUAACCUCGCCAAUUGACGUUACCCGCAAAAAAAGCCCCGGCUAACUCUGCGCCAGCACCCGCGGUAAUACAGAGGGUGCAAGCGUUAAU